RNAcentral lists this ribosomal RNA (377 nucleotides) under uncultured eukaryote. RNAcentral describes it as "partial 18S ribosomal RNA". It matches the Rfam family "Eukaryotic small subunit ribosomal RNA", at positions 592 to 976 of the family's 1831-position model. The record is from RNAcentral.
CAAUAGCGUAUAUUAAAGUUGUUGCAGUUAAAAAGCUCGUAGUUGGAUUUCGGGGCAGCCUGGCUGGUCCGCCGCAAGGCGAGUACUGGUAAGCCGCCCUUCCUCUCGAAAGCCCCGACUGCUCUUCGUUGCAGUGGUCGGGUAGUUCGGGACGUUUACUUUGAAAAAAUUAGAGUGUUCAAGGCAGGCCUACGCCUGAAUACAUUAGCAUGGAAUAAUGGAAGAGGACCUCGGUCCUAUUUUGUUGGUUUCCAGGGCCGAAGUAAUGAUUAAGAGGGACAGUUGGGGGCAUUCGUAUUUAAUUGUCAGAGGUGAAAUUCUCGGAUUUAUGAAAGACGAACAACUGCGAAAGCAUUUGCCAAGGAUGUUUUCAUUAA